CUACGGGACGCACCAGUGAGGAAUAUUGCACAAUGGGGGGAACCCUGAUGCAGCAACGCAGCGUGGAGGAUGACGCAUUUCGGUGUGUAAACUCCUUUUAUAUGUCAAGAAAAUGACGGUAGCAUAUGAAUAAGCACCGGCUAACUCCGUGCCAGCAGCCGCGGUAAUACGGAGGGUGCAAGCGUUACUCGGAAUCACUGGGCGUAAAGGACGCGUAGGCGGGUUGGAAAGUCAGGUGUGAAAUCCUAAAGCUUAACUGUAGAACUGCACUUGAAACUUCUAAUCUAGAGUAUGGGAGGGGGAGAUGGAAUUAGUGGUGUAGGGGUAAAAUCCGUAGAUAUCACUAGGAAUACCUAAAGCGAAGGCGAUCUCCUGGAACAUUACUGACGCUAAGGCGUGAAAGCGUGGGGAGCAAACAGGAUUAGAUACCCCCGUAGUC
Molecule: ribosomal RNA, 439 nt
Filed under: uncultured bacterium
Lineage: Bacteria
Description: partial 16S ribosomal RNA
Rfam family: Bacterial small subunit ribosomal RNA
Source: RNAcentral